GCACGUCUGCCUGGGUGUCACAAA
This 24-nucleotide non-coding RNA is filed under the name Arabidopsis thaliana (thale cress). The record is from RNAcentral. Lineage: Eukaryota; Viridiplantae; Streptophyta; Magnoliopsida; Brassicales; Brassicaceae.